UGGCUGAGUUCUUACAGGGCUAAAUGGCAGAGCUGGGUCUGAACUCAGUUUCGAUGAUGCUCAGGCCCCUGUUUUUAGCCAUGAUGCCACGUAGCCUUCUACGGUGAAAUGGUGCCCCCCUCACAACUUCUCACUCAUCUCACGUGUACCGAAUACCCUCUGUGAGUCAGAUACUCUGCUGGUCAUCCAGGACAUCAAGAUGUGAGGACAUGGCUCCUGUGCUCAUGGAACUCGUAACUACUCAUUCUAGUUUGCGUGAAAGGACAGACAAGAUUGAUCUUCCAUCAGUGGAAUAGUCCAAGUUUAAUUGGUGAACCAUACCCCAGUAAUCCCGCUCCCCACCCUCCAUAGAGACCCUUCCACGAUAGGGUGACAAUUUAUAAAUUACCCGAGUUCAUCACGCUAGAAUAAGAGAUGCCUGAUGGUCUAUGGAUGCAUUCGAGGUAGUUCCUGCUCAAGGAGCUCCCCAAAGUCCUGGCACGCUAGAUAUUGCAGGGGUCCCAGAAACCAAGAGAGACCACCUGCAUAACUAUUGGAAGUUUCUGCUGUUUCUACUGUGUUAUCUAAAGCCUUGAAAAAACAUACCCUACAGUCAAAUCCUGGUUUCUUCAGCUGCCGUCUUUAUCACGUUGCUACGUUAUAUAUCCCUUCCUGAACCUCAACAUCCUUAUCUGUAAAAUGAAGAUAAUAGUGUCUUUUAUUGGUUUGUUUAUGUAUCCAUUCAUCCAGAAAACAUUUUUUUAAAUCCCUACCUCAUCCCAGGUAUUGAGCUAG
This 774-nucleotide long non-coding RNA is filed under the name Equus caballus (horse). Its description in RNAcentral is "lncRNA (ENSECAG00000051732.1)". Lineage: Eukaryota; Metazoa; Chordata; Mammalia; Perissodactyla; Equidae. The record is from RNAcentral.